This 119-nucleotide small RNA is filed under the name unclassified sequences. Its description in RNAcentral is "LOOT RNA". It matches the Rfam family "LOOT RNA". From Rfam's summary of the family: Latescibacteria, OD1/Parcubacteria, OP11, TM7. Lineage (Microgenomates, aka OP11) The record is from Rfam by way of RNAcentral.
GACCUAAGUCUUUUUUGAAAGAUAUGGUCAAAAAUCCAAGUAGGGUGUAAAGAACUCCUCGUUCAGCAUACCUUACUUGGUCAUGAUUCGAAAGAAUUGUGGGCGGUCGCGAGAUCGUC